CUGUUUUAGAAAAACUUUUGGGUUCCUUUCAAAAAGAACUGUUUCAAAAGACCUAGUUAGUGAGCUACUAAUAGUUGUAGUAACUGGAUGACAGACCAUACCUGCAAUCUAUUUUUCUUGUGCUCUGAGGACAGAAAAUGUUAAAAAACUAAUUGAGAACAAAGAUAUCUAGCAUGUUUCAUUCUCCGUACAUGUUAAUUUUCGUAGGUUUGGUACCACGUAUGUAGCAGCCGUGGAAAAGGGUGUUACAACACAAGACUCAAGGAAGAUGGUGGCUGUACCAUAUAGUACUAUGAGAUGCAGUUGCUGUCUGAGAUAGAAGAACAUCUGAACUGUACCAUUUCUCAGGUUGAGCCAGAUAUAAAGGUACCAGUGGAUGAAUUUGAUGGGAAAGUUACUUAUGGUCAAAAAAGAACUGCUGGUGGUGGAAGCUAUAAAGGCCAUGUGGAUAUUUUGGCACCUACGGUUCAAGAGCUGGCUGCCCUUGAAAAGGAGGCACAGACGUCUUUCCUGCAUCUUGGCUACCUUCCUAACCAGUUGUUCAGAACCUUCUGAUCUGAUUUUAACGUACACUGAAUAAGAUUUGAAUAAUAAAAGUCUAUAGUCUUAAAACUCUAAAAUAGUUGUACUGCUUCCAAGCAGCAGUAUUUAUAGUAACUUAAGCUAUUAAUGCUAACUCUUGCAUGUCAAGAAACAUCAGUCUUAGGAAUUCUUCAUAGAAUGGCAACCUAAUGAAAACAAUAAAUUUGAUGACUAUA
Long non-coding RNA from Physeter macrocephalus (sperm whale), 758 nucleotides. RefSeq lists it as uncharacterized. The record is from RefSeq and is a predicted model, not a curated record. Lineage: Eukaryota; Metazoa; Chordata; Mammalia; Artiodactyla; Physeteridae. The transcript has 2 exons.